This 253-nucleotide ribosomal RNA is filed under the name uncultured bacterium. RNAcentral's name for it is "partial 16S ribosomal RNA". It matches the Rfam family "Bacterial small subunit ribosomal RNA", at positions 524 to 776 of the family's 1533-position model. The record is from RNAcentral.
UACGUAGGGUGCGAGCGUUGUCCGGAAUUAUUGGGCGUAAAGAGCUUGUAGGCGGUUUGUCGCGUCUGCCGUGAAAACCCGGGGCUCAACCCCGGGCCUGCAUUCGAUACGGGCAGACUAGAGUUCGGUAGGGGAGUCUGGAAUUCCUGGUGUAGCGGUGAAAUGCGCAGAUAUCAGGAGGAACACCGGUGGCGAAGGCGGGACUCUGGGCCGAUACUGAUGCUGAGGAGCGAAAGCGUGGGGAGCGAACAGG